GCCUGAUCCAGCCAUGCCGCGUGUGUGAAGAAGGCCUUUUGGUUGUAAAGCACUUUAAGCGAGGAGGAGGCUACUAGUAUUAAUACUACUGGAUAGUGGACGUUACUCGCAGAAUAAGCACCGGCUAACUCUGUGCCAGCAGCCGCGGUAAUACAGAGGGUGCGAGCGUUAAUCGGAUUUACUGGGCGUAAAGCGUGCGUAGGCGGCUUUUUAAGUCGGAUGUGAAAUCCCCGAGCUUAACUUGGGAAUUGCAUUCGAUACUGGGAAGCUAGAGUAUGGGAGAGGAUGGUAGAAUUCCAGGUGUAGCGGUGAAAUGCGUAGAGAUCUGGAGGAAUACCGAUGGCGAAGGCAGCCAUCUGGCCUAAUACUGACGCUGAGGUACGAAAGCAUGGGGAGCAAACAGGAUUAGAUACCCUGGUAGUCCAUGCCGUAAACGAUGUCUACUAGCCGUUGGGGCCUUUGAGGCUUUAGUGGCGCAGCUAACGCGAUAAGUAGACCGCCUGGGGAGUACGGUCGCAAGACUAAAACUCAAAUGAAUUGACGGGGGCCCGCACAAGCGGUGGAGCAUGUGGUUUAAUUCGAUGCAACGCGAAGAACCUUACCUGGUCUUGACAUACAGAGAACUUUCCAGAGAUGGAUUGGUGCCUUCGGGAACUCUGAUACAGGUGCU
This 670-nucleotide ribosomal RNA is filed under the name Acinetobacter schindleri. RNAcentral describes it as "bacterial SSU rRNA". It matches the Rfam family "Bacterial small subunit ribosomal RNA", at positions 381 to 1042 of the family's 1533-position model. Lineage: Bacteria; Pseudomonadati; Pseudomonadota; Gammaproteobacteria; Moraxellales; Moraxellaceae. The record is from RNAcentral.